UCCUACGGGAGGCAGCAGUGGGGAAUAUUGGACAAUGGGCGAAAGCCUGAUCCAGCAAUGCCGCGUGAGUGAUGAAGGCCUUAGGGUUGUAAAGCUCUUUUACCCGGGAUGAUAAUGACAGUACCGGGAGAAUAAGCUCCGGCUAACUCCGUGCCAGCAGCCGCGGUAAUA
Molecule: ribosomal RNA, 171 nt
Filed under: uncultured bacterium
Lineage: Bacteria
Also listed under: 1 other name
Description: partial 16S ribosomal RNA
Rfam family: Bacterial small subunit ribosomal RNA
Source: RNAcentral